Molecule: ribosomal RNA, 612 nt
Filed under: uncultured Tomentella
Lineage: Eukaryota; Fungi; Basidiomycota; Agaricomycetes; Thelephorales; Thelephoraceae
Description: eukaryotic LSU rRNA
Rfam family: 5.8S ribosomal RNA (bases 187-341)
Source: RNAcentral
ACGGGUUGUUGCUGGUCCUCAACGGGGACAUGUGCACGCUCUGUUUACACAUCCACUCACACCUGUGCACCCUCCGUAGUUCUGUGGUCUGGGGGACCCUGUCUUCCUGCCGUGGUUCUACGUCUUUACACACACACUGUAAUAAAGUCUUAUGGAAUGUAUGCCGCGUCUAACGCAAUACAAUACAACUUUCAGCAACGGAUCUCUUGGCUCUCGCAUCGAUGAAGAACGCAGCGAAAUGCGAUAAGUAAUGUGAAUUGCAGAAUUCAGUGAAUCAUCGAAUCUUUGAACGCACCUUGCGCCCCUUGGCUAUUCCGAGGGGCAUGCCUGUUUGAGUAUCAUGAACACCUCAACUCUCAUGGUUUGCCGUGAUGAGCUUGGACUCUGGGGGUUUUGCUGGCCUGCGGUCGGCUCCCCUCAAAUGAAUCAGCCUCCCAGUGUUUGGUGGCAUCACGGGUGUGAUAAAUAUCUACGCUCGCAGUUGUCCGCCAGGUAACCUUUGGUAACAAAGGUUCGCUGGAGCUCACAGAUGUCUCUCCUCAGCGAGGACAGCUUUUUGAACGUUCGAUCUCAAAUCAGGUAGGACUACCCGCUGAACUUAAGCAUAUCAAU